UACGGAGGAUCCAAGCGUUAUCCGGAUUCACUGGGUUUAAAGGGUGCGUAGGCGGGCAAGUAAGUCAGUGGUGAAAUCUCCGGGCUUAACCCGGAAACUGCCAUUGAUACUAUUUGUCUUGAAUACUGUGGAGGUCAGCGGAAUAUGUCAUGUAGCGGUGAAAUGCUUAGAUAUGACAUAGAACACCAAUUGCGAAGGCAGCUGGCUACACAAAUAUUGACACUGAGGCACGAAAGCGUGGGGAUCAAACAGG
RNAcentral lists this ribosomal RNA (253 nucleotides) under uncultured bacterium. RNAcentral describes it as "partial 16S ribosomal RNA". It matches the Rfam family "Bacterial small subunit ribosomal RNA", at positions 524 to 776 of the family's 1533-position model. The record is from RNAcentral.